UACGGAGGGUGCGAGCGUUGUCCGGAAUCACUGGGCGUAAAGGGCGCGUAGGUGGCCCGUUAAGUGGCUGGUGAAAUCCCGCGGCUCAACUGCGGGGCUGCCGGUCAUACUGGCGAGCUAGAGCACGGUAGGGGCAGAUGGAAUUCCCGGUGUAGCGGUGGAAUGCGUAGAGAUGCGGAGGAACACCGAUGGCGAAGGCAGCCCCCUGGGCCAACACUGACGCUCAGGCACGAAAGCGUGGGGAGCAAACAGG
RNAcentral lists this ribosomal RNA (253 nucleotides) under uncultured bacterium. RNAcentral's name for it is "partial 16S ribosomal RNA". It matches the Rfam family "Bacterial small subunit ribosomal RNA", at positions 524 to 776 of the family's 1533-position model. The record is from RNAcentral.